Molecule: ribosomal RNA, 253 nt
Filed under: uncultured bacterium
Lineage: Bacteria
Description: partial 16S ribosomal RNA
Rfam family: Bacterial small subunit ribosomal RNA
Source: RNAcentral
UACAGAGGUGGCAAGCGUUGUUCGGAAUUACUGGGCGUAAAGGGCGCGUAGGCGGUCUUGUAAGUCCUGUGUGAAAUCCCUCGGCUCAACUGAGGAACUGCACGGGAUACUGCGAGACUUGAGUUCGGGAGAGGGAAGCGGAAUUCCGGGUGUAGCGGUGAAAUGCGUAGAUAUCCGGAGGAACACCGGUGGCGAAGGCGGCUUCCUGGACCGACACUGACGCUGAGGCACGAAAGCUAGGGGAGCAAACGGG